Molecule: ribosomal RNA, 1611 nt
Filed under: Triticum aestivum (bread wheat)
Lineage: Eukaryota; Viridiplantae; Streptophyta; Magnoliopsida; Poales; Poaceae
Description: partial small subunit ribosomal RNA
Source: RNAcentral
AUGAAGAUGGCGACUUGCAUUCGUAAGGUGGCCUCGGGGGAGUUUGGAGUGUCCAGGGGAAGGAGAAGCGAAGAUAACGAUACCUGGUGGUGGAAUGAUGAUGUCCAGAAGGCGCUUAAAGAGAAGAAAGAUUGCUUCAGACGCCUAUACCUGGAUAGGAGUGCAGACAACAUAGAGAAGUACAAGAUGGUGAAGAAGGCCGCAAAGCGAGCUGUUGGUGAAGCAAGGGGUCGGGCAUAUGAGGACCUCUACCAACGGUUAGGCACGAAGGAAGGUGAAAGGGACAUCUAUAAGAUGGCUAAGAUCCGGGAGAGGAAGACGAGGGAUAUUGGCCAAGUCAAAUGCAUCAAGGACGGAGCAGGCCAACUCUUGGUGAAGGACGAAGAGAUUAAGCAUAGAUGGCGGGAGUACUUCGACAAGCUGUUCAAUGGGGAGAAUGAGAGUUCUACCAUUGAACUGAAUGACUCCUUUGAUGAGACCAGCAUGCGUUUUGUGCGGCGCAUCCAGGAGUCUAAGGUGAAGGAGGCUUUAAAAAGGAUGAAAGGAGGCAAGGCGAUGGGCCCUGAUUGUAUCCCCAUUGAGGUGUGGAAAGGUCUCGGGGACGUAGCGAUAGUAUGGCUAACCAAGCUUUUCAACCUCAUUUUUCGGGCAAACAAGAUGCCAGAAGAAUGGAGACGGAGUAUAUUAGUACCAAUCUUCAAGAACAAGGGGGAUGUUCAGAGUUGUACUAAUUACCGUGGAAUUAAGCUGAUGAGCCAUACAAUGAAGCUAUGGGAGAGAGUCAUUGAGCACCGCUUAAGAAGAAUGACAAGCGUGACCAAAAAUCAGUUUGGUUUCAUGCCUGGGAGGUCGACCAUGGAAGCCAUUUUCUUGGUACGACAACUUAUGAAGAGAUAUAGGGAGCAUAAGAAGGACUUGCAUAUGGUGUUCAUUGACUUGGAGAAGGCCUAUGAUAAGAUACCGCGGAAUGUCAUGUGGUGGGCCUUAGAGAAACACAAAGUCCCAGCAAAGUACAUUACCCUCAUCAAGGACAUGUACAAUAAUGUUGUGACAAGUGUUCGAACAAGUGAUGUCGACACCGAUGACUUCCCGAUUAAGAUAGGACUGCAUCAGGGGUCAGCUUUGAGCCCUUAUCUUUUUGCAUUGGUGAUGGAUGAGGUCACAAGGGGUAUACAAGGAGAUAUCCCAUGGUGUAUGCUCUUUGCGGAUGAUGUGGUGCUAGUUGACGAUAGUCGGAUGGGGGUAAAUAGGAAGUUAGAGUUAUGGAGACAAACCUUGGAAUCGAAAGGGUUUAGGCUUAGUAGAACUAAAACUGAGUACAUGAUGUGCGGUUUCAGUACUACUAGCUGUGAGGAGGAGGAGGUUAGCCUUGAUGGCCAGGUGGUACCUCGGAAGGACACCUUUCGGUAUUUGGGGUCAAUGUUGCAGGAGGAUGGGGGUAUUGAUGAAGAUGUGAACCAUCGAAUCAAAGCCGGAUGGAUGAAGUGGCGCCAAGCUUCUGGCAUUCUCUGUGACAAGAGAGUGCCACAAAAGCUAAAAGGCAAGUUCUACAGGACGGCGGUUCGACCCGCAAUGUUGUAUGGCGCGGAGUGUUGGCCGACUAAAAGGUGA